GUCGCAUGAAUUCCAAACUGACUGUCCGGACUCAGGUCGCAUUUUUUAAAUAUUCAACCUGUAACAGAUUUGGACCACAUAUGAAAGUGGCCCAAAUCAGAACUGGAAAAGACUGGACGCCAUGUGACUUGGGCUGUUUACACUAAUAGAAAAAAAAAUCAG
Etheostoma spectabile (orangethroat darter) is the source of this 162-nucleotide long non-coding RNA. RefSeq lists it as uncharacterized. The transcript is spliced from 3 exons. NCBI's taxonomy places the organism in Eukaryota, Metazoa, Chordata, Actinopteri, Perciformes, Percidae. The record is from RefSeq and is a predicted model, not a curated record.